Molecule: long non-coding RNA, 808 nt
Organism: Oenanthe melanoleuca
Lineage: Eukaryota; Metazoa; Chordata; Aves; Passeriformes; Muscicapidae
Exons: 3
Source: RefSeq, a predicted model, not a curated record
CUGGGCUCUGUGGAUGCUGAGGCAGCUCUGGGCUGUGCCAGGGCUCUGCUGGGCUCAGUCCUGGGCACAGGGCUCUGCCCUCACAGGGCUCUGACAGCUUUGUAUCUGAUGAGCCCGUUCUGAGCACACCGCCUGAGCUUUCUGCUUUUGCAGAAGUGCCAAGAGUGGGCAAAACCUGGCAAGAGGGCGUGUUCCUAAGGCAGUGCAGCCUGGAGCUGAUGGAUGGAGAAUUGCCCUUCUGCACUUCCAAACCAGGGCAAAAAGCUAAAACAUGGCAUAAAAAAGAGUGUCCUUGGCUCCUGGUUCCCGUGUGGAGCAGCUCCUUCCCACUGGCUGAGCUGCUCAGGCAGAGCCCAGCAGCUCCUGGCCCUGCAGGGCUGAGGCUUUUCCCUGGUGCUGGGCACAGACUGAUGGAGCAGCACUGCUGAGCACAGGGACACACAGAGGGACCAGGAGCAGCUGCCUUUGUCCAUCUGCUGCUCCAAGGGCCAAACUCUGAGCAGACAGGGCUGGAGGAGACUCGCAGGCUCCCUGUUUGCUGUGCUGCCCCACUUGUGCCCGGCCCAGCUCUGUGUGGGGCAGAGGGAGAACAAGGGGCAGCUCCCUCCCAGCCCUCAGCCCAGGGACCCCUCUGGCCCCGGGGCUUGGGGCACUGUCAGCACCCACUGCUCCAGCCACCGCUUCUGCUGGCACUGACAGCAAUACCCAAACUGUGGCUGAUCCCAAGGGAGCAGCAGCAGUGCCUGGAUCUGAUCCCUGAUUCUGGGCAGGGCUGGACAAAUGACCCCCGCAGCAGCAGCAGCAGCAG